Nelumbo nucifera (sacred lotus) is the source of this 2581-nucleotide non-coding RNA. The record is from RefSeq and is a predicted model, not a curated record. Lineage: Eukaryota; Viridiplantae; Streptophyta; Magnoliopsida; Proteales; Nelumbonaceae.
CACUGCUUUUCAAAACCACCCGUCUGAGUCCUGACAAAUAAGAUGGUUUCUCAAGUUUUGACACCGCGUAAUUAGUUGUUUAUUACUCACCUCACCUCUUUUUCUACACUUUUCCAGCUACUAUAAAUAUUUUUUUCAGCUAUCUGGGUUAAUUGCGUUAUUACUUAAUCUCUUCAACAAAUGCUCGUUCUUGCAAGGGCUAGACGUCAUACUGUCAUAGUCCCCACAUAAAAUAUAGGUAGGGGCUUAUUGCAGAGAUAUCCUUCUUUCAUCCAUUGCUCUGGGAACUGGGUUUAUCCUGAAACUCGUUUGAUCAUGGCGGGAGGAGAAGGAGGAGCGUCUCAAUCAAGGGAGCUUGAUCAAACUCCCACAUGGGCGGUAGCUGCUGUUUGCGCGGUUAUUAUUAUAAUUUCUAUAGUGUUGGAGAAGGUUCUUCACAGGCUCGGCGAGUGGUUCACAGAAAGACGUAAGAAUGCACUGUUUGAAGCUCUUGAGAAGGUCAAAGCUGAGCUUAUGGUUCUAGGUUUCAUUUCCUUGCUCCUGACAUUCUGUCAGAGCUACAUUGUUAAAAUAUGUAUUCCAGAGAAGAUUACGCGCAAAAUGUUACCUUGCCCAUAUAGACCAUCAAAUACUGAAGAAGAAGAUCACCGGAGGCUUCUAUGGAAUGAGCGCAGAUUCUUAUCCACUGCUAGUAAAGCUUCUAAAUGCAAGGAGGGUUAUGAGCCACUUAUUUCUCUAAAUGGACUACAUCAAUUGCACAUCUUUAUAUUCUUUUUAGCCGUCUUUCAUGUGCUCUAUAGUGCUACAACAAUGAUGCUUGGGAGACUAAAGAUACGUGGAUGGAAGGCGUGGGAGAGGGAGACACAAUCUCUUAACUAUGAAUUUCAUUAUGAUCCCUCAAGAUUCAGGCUUACUCAUGAGACGUCUUUUGUCAGAGCACACACCAACUUCUGGACUAGGAUUCCUUUUUUCUUUGUUUUUGUAUGCUUUUUUCGGCAUUUUUUCAGAUCUGUUCGUAAGGCAGAUUAUUUGACAUUACGUCAUGGAUUCAUAUCAGUUCAUUUAGCUCCUGGAAGUAAGUUUGACUUCCAAAAAUAUAUAAAAAGGUCAUUAGAAGAUGAUUUCAAGGUAGUCGUGGGAAUCAGUCCACUUCUAUGGGCUUCACUUGUGGUCUUUUUGCUUCUGAAUGUUAGUGGAUGGAGGACAUUAUUUUGGGUGUCCAUAAUUCCUCUAAUUAUAAUCUUGGCAGUUGGAACAAAACUUCAAGCAAUUAUAACAACUAUGGCUCUUGAAAUCCAAGAAAGACAUGCAGUGGUUCAAGGGAUUCCUCUUGUGAAAGUCAGCGACAAACACUUCUGGUUUAAUCGGCCUCAAUUAGUUCUGUAUCUAAUCCAUUUUGUUAUGUUUCAGAAUGCAUUCCAAAUAACAUAUUUCCUUUGGAUAUGGUAUGAAUUUGGCUUGAAAUCUUGCUUUCAUGAGAACUUCACGCUUAUAAUCAUACGAGUUUCAAUGGGGGUUGGAGUCCAAUUCUUGUGUAGCUACAUUACACUUCCCCUCUAUGCACUAGUAACUCAGAUGGGAUCAACCAUGAAGAAGUCUGUCUUUGAUGAGCAGACAUCGAAGGCCAUUAAGAAGUGGCGUAUGGCUGCCAUGAAAAAGAAGCACGAGAAAAGGACGGGGCAUUCCCCUACAAGAAGUGUGGGAAGUGGCCCGAGUGCCUCACCUGUGCAAUCCCCACCCCACCCACUUCAACGUUUCAAGACUACUGGGCACUCAACACGCUCAUCUACAUAUAGUAUGAGAAAUUCUGAAGAUGACAUGUCAGACAAUGAAGCAGAUGCACCGUCACCCACAUCAGUCACAGAAAACCCACCCCUGAUGGCGAAUGUUGGUAGACAAUCUAGAACAAGGGAAUACCCCCGCCAUGAAUAUGAUGAUGGUCAAAAACAUGAUGAAGAUGACUUCUCAUUUGCUAAGCCAGACCUAUUAACUGGACCUUGACAGUGAUGGUAGCAAAAUGGCGUUGAGAUGUUGAUGAAACUUUGGUGGUGGUCAGUGUUCACGGUGGCCAGCAGUGGUGAUUCUCCUAUUAUCAGCAAUUUUCAUUCAAAUGUAACACUAACAAUUUCACAUGUAACCGAUGAGCAGAAGCGCAACUAAGUGAACGAUUAUGCAUGCCCAUGAAUAUACUUUGUUGGGGAAAGAAUGCUGGAUCCUGAUGAGCCACUCCUACAUCCGCAGUCUGGUGCGCUGGUAGGGUAAUCCCACCCUAAAAGAGCUUAUGAGAAGAAUUCUCUCUUGAUGAUUUCAUUCAAUGUUCUGUACGAUAUUUAUACAUGUUGUAUGUGUACAGAUAAGAACAGAGUAAGAGAUAAAUACAGGGGUAAGGAUAAAUACAAGAUAAGAGAUAAAUACAAGAGAAGAGAUGAGUGUAAUUGGUUGCAACAGUGUAGGAGUUUGUUCUUAUCUCAAAUACUGGGUAACUGAUUACACUAGCACACCCAUUUGAGAGACAUAUUUUCAAAUGUAAUGCAAAUUCAAAAUGGACAAUCAACUUGUUUGGACCUUCCUGACAAUGUCA